RNAcentral lists this long non-coding RNA (1239 nucleotides) under Callithrix jacchus (white-tufted-ear marmoset). RNAcentral's name for it is "lncRNA (ENSCJAG00000085243.1)". Lineage: Eukaryota; Metazoa; Chordata; Mammalia; Primates; Cebidae. The record is from RNAcentral.
AUGGUAUGUGUAGUGUGUGUGCUGUGUGUGUGGGGUGUGGGGGGUGUGUGGAGCAUGUGUGUGUGGUGUGUCUAUGGUGUGUGUGUAUGUGUGGUGUGUGUAUGUGGGGUGUGUGUGUGGUGUGUAUGUGUGGUGUGUGGUGUGUGUGUGGUGUAUAGUAUGUGUGUGUGUGGUGUGUGGGGUAUGUUUGUGUGUAUGGUGUGUGUGUGGGGUGUAUGGAGUAUGUGUGUGUGGUGUGUGGGGUGUAUGGAGUAUGUGUGUGUAGUGUGUAUGUGUGGUGUGUGGUGUGUGUGUGGUGUGUGUGUGUGGGGUGUGGGUGUGUGUGUGUGUGGUGUGGGGGGUGUGUGUGUGUGGUGUGGGGUGUGUGUGUGUGUGGGGUGUGGGUGUGUGUGGUGUGUAUGUGUGGUGUGGGUGGUGUGUGUGUGUGGGGUGUGUGGGGUGUGGGUGUGUGUGGUGUGUGUGUGUGGGGUGUGUGGGGUGUGGGUGUGUGUGGUGUGUAUGUGUGGUGUGUGUGUGUGGGAUGUGUGUGUGUGGUGUGUAUGUGUGGGGUGUGUGUGUGUGGUGUGGGGUGUGUGUGUGUGGUGUGGGGGGUGUGUGUGUGUGUGUGGGGUGUGGGUGUGUGUGGUGUGUAUGUGUGGUGUGGGUGGUGUGUGUGUGUGGGGUGUGUGGGGUGUGGGUGUGUGUGGUGUGUAUGUGUGGUGUGGGUGGUGUGUGUGUGUGGGGUGUGUGGGGUGUGGGUGUGUGUGGUGUGUGUGUGUGGGAUGUGUGUGUGUGGUGUGUGUGUGUGGGAUGUGUGUGUGUGGUGUGUAUGUGUGGGGUGUGUGUGUGUGUGGUGUGGGGUGUGUGUGUGUGGUGUGGGGGGUGUGUGUGUGUGUGUGGGGUGUGGGUGUGUGUGGUGUAUAUGUGUGGUGUGGGUGGUGUGUGUGUGUGGGGUGUGUGGGGUGUGGGUGUGUGUGGUGUGUAUGUGUGGUGUGGGUGGUGUGUGUGUGUGGGGUGUGUGGGGUGUGGGUGUGUGUGGUGUGUAUGUGUGGUGUGUGUGUGUGGGAUGUGUGUGUGUGUGGUGUGUAUGUGUGGGGUGUGUGUGUGUGGUGUGGGGUGUGUGUGUGUAUGUGUGUGGUGUGGGGUGUGUGUGUGUGUGUGUGUGUGGUAUCCAUCCCAGGCAAGGAGCCUAUGGACACAAAGCUCCAUCAGGUACUUGCAAGGCCCACCUGGCUGUCAGGACCCCCCCCGCCCACCUGA